CCACUUGCCUCGUCCGGAUAAUCAGUCGUCGUCGAGCUUUCAAAACGUUUGCAGCAAACGGGAGAACACACGCCAGGGAUCGAAAUCCAACCAAGAGCAGCCAAAAAGCAGGAGACCCAGAGAUACCAAAAGAUAGAGAGAGAUAGAACGAGCGAGAGAUAGAGAAAGAGCCAAAUAUCCGACGAUAGAUGGAAAUAGUGUCGCCGUGCAAACGCGGAGAGAGCUAAAAGCGAACAGUCCAGCUGAGAAUUACUAUAGCCCAAGAGCUAUAGUCGAAAGAAGAAACGAGAUCGGCUCGGGUCGCUCCUUGAUUCAUUUCAGACAAAAACGAGAGGAAAGCCCCAAAAGAACACGCCAAUUGCCGCAAAAAACAACCAAACCAACAAAAACUUACUCCAAAAGAAAAAGCAAAGCAAAAAAUUAAUAAAAACCAAAGAGAUUUUCAUUCAACAAAAACACUGACCACAGCUUCAAGAAGUGUGCACAAUAAUAGCAACAAAAGAAAAAUACAAGAAAAACCAAAAGACUAGCCAAAACCAAUUCCAGAGAUAUUAACAAAACAACAAAAAAAAAAAAGCAAAACAAAAACCAAACCAAACGACACGAAACGAAAACCAAUUAAGCGAACAAUUCUCUAGUUUUCUCGGAGGAAAAAGCAAA
RNAcentral lists this small RNA (660 nucleotides) under Drosophila pseudoobscura pseudoobscura. RNAcentral's name for it is "GA31010". Lineage: Eukaryota; Metazoa; Arthropoda; Insecta; Diptera; Drosophilidae. The record is from RNAcentral.